GAGAAAGCUACCAAAGGGCACACGGUGGAUGUCUUGGUGUCCAGAGGCGAUGAAGGACGUUGGAACCUGCGAUAUGCCUCGGGGAGCC
RNAcentral lists this ribosomal RNA (88 nucleotides) under Phycisphaerales bacterium. RNAcentral describes it as "partial 23S ribosomal RNA". It matches the Rfam family "Bacterial large subunit ribosomal RNA", at positions 1 to 87 of the family's 2925-position model. The record is from RNAcentral. Lineage: Bacteria; Pseudomonadati; Planctomycetota; Phycisphaerae; Phycisphaerales.